CGAGCGCCCCGCAAGGGGAGCGGCAGACAGGUGAGUAACGCGUGGGAAUCUACCCAGCUCUACGGAAUAACCCAGGGAAACUUGGACUAAUACCGUAUACGUCCUUCGGGAGAAAGAUUUAUCGGAGUUGGAUGAGCCCGCGUUGGAUUAGCUAGUUGGUGGGGUAAAGGCCUACCAAGGCGACGAUCCAUAGCUGGUCUGAGAGGAUGAUCAGCCACACUGGGACUGAGACACGGCCCAGACUCCUACGGGAGGCAGCAGUGGGGAAUAUUGGACAAUGGGCGCAAGCCUGAUCCAGCCAUGCCGCGUGAGUGAUGAAGGCCCUAGGGUUGUAAAGCUCUUUCAACGGUGAAGAUAAUGACGGUAACCGUAGAAGAAGCCCCGGCUAACUUCGUGCCAGCAGCCGCGGUAAUACGAAGGGGGCUAGCGUUGUUCGGAAUCAUUGGGCGUAAAGGGCGCGCAGGCGGCGUGUAAAGUCUGGCGUGGAAGUCCCCGGCUCAACUGGGGGAUUGCGUUGGAAACUGGCACGCUUGAGUACGAAAGGGGAUGGCGGAAUUCCAGGUGUAGGGGUGAAAUCUGUAGAUAUCUGGAGGAACACCAACGGCGAAGGCAGCCAUCUGGUUCAGUACUGACGCUGAGGCGCGAAGGUGCGGGGAGCAAACAGGUUUAGAUACCCUGGUAGUCCGCACAGUAAACGAUGUGCAC
Molecule: ribosomal RNA, 705 nt
Filed under: uncultured bacterium
Lineage: Bacteria
Description: bacterial SSU rRNA
Rfam family: Bacterial small subunit ribosomal RNA
Source: RNAcentral